Molecule: ribosomal RNA, 487 nt
Filed under: uncultured bacterium
Lineage: Bacteria
Description: bacterial SSU rRNA
Rfam family: Bacterial small subunit ribosomal RNA
Source: RNAcentral
GAUGAACGCUAGCGGGAGGCUUAACACAUGCAAGUCGAGGGGCAGCACGAUGUAGCAAUACUUUGGUGGCGACCGGCGCACGGGUGAGUAACACGUAUGCAACCUACCUGUAAGAGGGGAAUAACCCGGAGAAAUUCGGACUAAUACCGCAUAAUACUGAUUAUCUGCAUGGAUUGAUCAGUUAAACAUUUAUGGCUUACAGAUGGGCAUGCGUAUGAUUAGAUAGUUGGUAGGGUAACGGCCUACCAAGUCAACGAUCAUUAGGGGUUCUGAGAGGAAGGUCCCCCACACUGGUACUGAGACACGGACCAGACUCCUACGGGAGGCAGCAGUGAGGAAUAUUGGUCAAUGGGCGAGAGCCUGAACCAGCCAAGUCGCGUGAAGGAAGAAGGUUCUAUGGAUUGUAAACUUCUUUUGUAAGGGAAUAAAAAGAGUUACGUGUAACUUAUUGUAUGUACUUUACGAAUAAGGAUCGGCUAACUCCGUG